CGUCGCUCUCACAGAAGCAGGCAGCAGCAGAGAGAGAGAGAGUGAAAGAGAGAGAGAGAGAGAGAGAGAGAGAGAGAGAGAGAUCAGCUGGAUGACUUCAGCCGCUCUUAGAUGACGAUCUUUGUUUUAACGAUUACAGAGAAGAAUCCUUCUGAACUGAAAUCAGUAUCGACCGUCAAAUAUCGGAGGAUUCCUUAAGGCUGCGUUGUUUGUUGUUGGAAACAGCUUCGGCUCCAAGAAAAGACAGACACAACAGAUAACCCGAUCUUCUGUCUUCCGUCACCACAGGAGCCAUGGCAGCAGAAAUCCUUAAACUCUACUUCAUUGGAACAGCGCUGAGUGUCCUUGCAGUCUUUUAUGGAAUAAUGGACUCCUUUGGCGGUCUGAUGUACGUCCAGGACAGUCACAACAUUUUGACACUGGACCACCACACACAGGGGCAGGUCUCCUCGGAUAACCAGCGGAGAGGAUCCCCUGUGACCAAAAACAUCGGCUCAUGAGGGAAAAUCAUCACCAUGACGUCUGGAUGGACAUGCUUGAUACUGUGGCGAUGGAUUAAAACGCUGUGGACGCUACAGUACUUGUCAAUAAUCACUCAAGUUCGUCUAACCUGCUGGACGUGUUUGGCUCUUGGUGAAACCUCUGCCCUUGAGCCGCAACUACAGAUGUGAUGAGAAAUGUAACAGCACUACUGAUUGCACUAAAAUGUUGUUGAUGUUUUUUCACCUUUUUUUCCAGGUUUAGUUUUGUAUGUGUUUACUCUUUAAUAAAGGAAUCCUGUUGGAAAUGA
Labrus bergylta (ballan wrasse) is the source of this 790-nucleotide long non-coding RNA. RefSeq lists it as uncharacterized. The record is from RefSeq and is a predicted model, not a curated record. NCBI's taxonomy places the organism in Eukaryota, Metazoa, Chordata, Actinopteri, Labriformes, Labridae.